Long non-coding RNA from Syngnathus acus (greater pipefish), 285 nucleotides. RefSeq lists it as uncharacterized. Lineage: Eukaryota; Metazoa; Chordata; Actinopteri; Syngnathiformes; Syngnathidae. The record is from RefSeq and is a predicted model, not a curated record. The transcript has 3 exons.
CAGGGCUGCUGUGUCUUUGGCUCACACGUCUCCCCUCCAUCACCAUUCUCCAUUGUUUGCACACCUGAAUUUACACAACACCGACAUUCUCUUUGGUGUGUUAAAUGUCUCAAAAGAUUACCGACGGACCACCAAACGUGAAUCUGAAAGUGUCUCAAUGAAAGAAUCAAAUUUCAUCUCAUCAGGGAUUGGCAUCUGACGAAAAAAGGCCACAAGACUAAAAGAACGAAAGCUUUUUUUAACCAUCAAUUUCAGCCAGGGACGCUACAAGACAGUAGAACACCG